CCUACGGGGGGCAGCAGUGGGGAAUAUUGCACAAUGGGCGCAAGCCUGAUGCAGCCAUGCCGCGUGUAUGAAGAAGGCCUUCGGGUUGUAAAGUACUUUCAGUCGGGAGGAAGGUGGUGAGCUUAAUACGCUCAUCAAUUGACGUUACCGACAGAAGAAGCACCGGCUAACUCCGUGCCAGCAGCCGCGGUAAUACGGAGGGUGCAAGCGUUAAUCGGAAUUACUGGGCGUAAAGCGCACGCAGGCGGUUGAUUGAGUCAGAUGUGAAAUCCCCGGGCUUAACCCGGGAAUUGCAUCUGAUACUGGUCAGCUAGAGUCUUGUAGAGGGGGGUAGAAUUCCAUGUGUAGCGGUGAAAUGCGUAGAGAUGUGGAGGAAUACCGGUGGCGAAGGCGGCCCCCUGGACAAAGACUGACGCUCAGGUGCGAAAGCGUGGGGA
This 437-nucleotide ribosomal RNA is filed under the name uncultured bacterium. RNAcentral describes it as "bacterial SSU rRNA". It matches the Rfam family "Bacterial small subunit ribosomal RNA", at positions 338 to 767 of the family's 1533-position model. The record is from RNAcentral.